GCCAGCCUGGCCAACAUGGUGAAACUCUAACUAUACUAAAAAGCCAAAAAAAAAAAAAAAAAAAAAUUAGCUGGACGUGGUGGUGGGCACCUGUAAUGCCACUUACUCGGAAAGCUAACACAUGAGAAUUACUUGAACCUAGGAAGCAGAAGUCACAGUGAGCUGAGAUUGUGGCAAUGCACUCCAGCCUGGGUGACCGAGGGAGGCUCCCUCUCAAAAACAACAAAGGAACCACUACACGGUUAGCUGAAUCCCAUUGCUGAAAACCUAGGAACGGCAAGGAACAGAUAAAUAGGCACCUGCCGCCAUCAGAUGCUACCACUCAAAACUGGAACCCCUUCAGACCCAUUUCCUCUUUCCAAAGAGGAAAGAAUCCUACUCUCCAAAGAGAGAAGAAUGAUCAUCAAAAAGAGUCAGCAGUGUCACUGAAGCAACACCAACAGCCAGUUUCACGCUCAGGAGAAAACAUUACACCUCUUCCUCGCAAGUUCCAUUGCCUUACACGUUCAGAAAAACUUCCCUAGUAAUAAACUACAGAAAUAAUCCCUGAAAGUAUAGUCUUGGUCUUUUGGUCACAGCCUCUGCUGGC
Molecule: long non-coding RNA, 589 nt
Organism: Callithrix jacchus (white-tufted-ear marmoset)
Lineage: Eukaryota; Metazoa; Chordata; Mammalia; Primates; Cebidae
Source: RefSeq, a predicted model, not a curated record